UAUGAAUAGCUUGUCACACCCGAUUAAUUUCCUUGUCUAACAAUAAGAUCGGAUCUAAAGUAAUAUUCUAGUUCGAAGUAACCACGAACCAAUGGUUUCGAACAACUGUUGGAUUUUCGACGAAAAACAUCGCAGAGCGUGCAGAAACGCAAACAAGAUCAAUAAUUUGUAAUAAUCAUCGGAACAUGUGGUCCUCGUUUUCUUGGAAACGUUAGCGGCACCAACUGGACUGAGAUGACUCAGAAACCAUAAAUGAGAACUAUGUACAUCACGAUAUUUUUUCGAUUUGCAACAGGCCAUUGUUUACGACAUCGUCAGUCUCUUCUUCGUUGUCCUAGUUUGCUUAGGACCGCGAGAUACCAGGAGUCGUGAUAAACGCGUGUACAUAAUAAUCGAGAAAGGAAGAACGACGUCGUCGUUCCUCCUGCUUCGAUGAAUCACGUUGUCUGAGUUUAAAUGAGAGCCUUCGGUAGAAGUAAUCGAAUUCAUGGACACGUAUUUCUACUUACGACAUAACAGUCUUGGGGCCGAAUAACUCGAGGAUAAGGGAAAUACUUGACAUCGAUAGAGGACGAUAACGAAUUCAACAAACACUCAAAAGAUAAGAUGUUCGCACGUAAUAAAAUACAAUUUAAUCCAUGGCUCGACACCGAUCUAUUGUAAACUGGCACGUGAUACGAUUCACGUCAAAAGAAUACAAUAAAAAGAAAAUAAUAAUGUCUACUGACACUACCCGAACGUAACAAUUUCGUACGCGAAAUCUGUCUCUAAUAUUACCAGCGAUAUAUCACUGGACCAUUUGCGAACGUGCAUUAUCCUAAUAAUCACUCGUAUGUUUCGUGAUUAACUCGAUCGUGUCACUUGGUUAAAAAUUCUCUGGCAAACCGCGGUAAUCGCGAUCGACGAUGUUCGCCGAAAAUACAGCGUGCCGUGAGAACUAUCAAUUAAAGUUCCGUACACACACAGAGAACACUCUCACCAAUCUAACGACCGCGCCAUUUCGCUAUUCAUUCGAAUCGAAUUUUCGUUGAGCCAAACGGAACAAUGGAUUCAUGUUACCUCGACCUUUCAUAAAUUGUUGGGCCACGUACUGGUACGUUGUUUACAUUGAAAAUUGAUUAUUUGGAAGUUGUCGUUUAACGCGAUCGAACAUCAAUUACAUGCAUCAAUUUAUUUAUUUUCCCGAUAUGCAGUGUUAACAACGGCGAGGCAGUGUCUACAGUGUAACAAUAACAAAGUACAAAACAAGUAAUUAAGAGCAGGCAUUCCUGCACGUAUUCACUAGAUCAAAAAAAAAAAAAAAAAAACGAAUCAAUGUUACAUACCUUGUUUUUAGGUGACAUCGUGCGGUACGGAUGCCUGUCCUGUUUGAAUGAAGAUGAACACACCCUCUCGGCGAGUGAGAAAGCGAAUGAAAAAGAAAGAAAGAAAAAGGGAGAGAAAGAGAGAUGGCGGGUCUCGCGCCACCUGAGUGGACAGCGUCCAGCUGCGGUACGAGGAACAAGCGAUGUGAAAAUGCGCGCUGCUCAACCACCGGCUGACUUAUCGCAUCGUAGUCGUCGAGUCCAUCCGAUUCCCCACUCUAUGAAAUAUCCAUCUCCCUUGCCAACUGUUCUCUGUACGUUCUAUCGUCUCGAUUUGCUGGAUGCCUCCCUCUUUGUUUCUACGAUUUCUCCCUCUAUGUUCCUAUCCGUCAGUCGGCUAGCUGUCUCUUCGUUCCACGCAAAACCGACUGUCUUCCUUCCGCUACCAGGUUCACGCAGUCAUCCACGAUGUCUCACGCGCGCGGACACAAAACGCGCUAUUGCCGGCCUAUCGAUAGGUACAAAGGUUCUGUGUGCACGCCCUGAUGUUCCAAAUAUGCACAAGAUAUUACGGUUAGAUGAAGAUCUUCUAUAGAGCGGCCGCGAUAUAUGGGCUUUCAAAAGCGGACAUCCAUGCGAUUCGACUGCACGCGUAACGCAGUGACGGAAUGAUGAAAGAAAACGAUAGCAACGAAGAGGGAAAACCUAUGUAAAAGAAUAACAAGGAAAUUUUAAAUCUCGCUUUUGUAGGGGAAUCGUAUUCGUAGGAAUAUACGAAGGUUAUUUCCUAAAUUAAACAGUUCCGUGCGUUUCGUCGUGAAAGGAGUUCCAACGCAGAUGCGCGAACACGUUUCUGUUUUAUGACGAAAAUAGAGUAGCAAAUCACAGCGUUCGGCUCACCCAUUUCACGUGUUUCGAACGUCCGAGCUUCUACGGUGAUUCUUCUAUUGUCUCGCCGUACAAAUACAAACUGAGUCACACAAAAAUAAAGCCUACAAAAAUCAAAGAAAACUUGAAGCGAAAGGAAAACGAACGAUUAUGCGUGUAAAUUGGCAGAACAUGCUGAGAAGAGGAACGUAAAACGACAAGAGGAUGAAAGAGAGACUCACGAUGUUAUUGGCCGUUGGUUUCGCCUUGAUUUGCAGGCCAUCAUCGUCACCGAUCUGCUCCCCAAUCUGUUCGCGGCUGCUAGCGGGGCCCAUCUCGGCGCCGCGGCGCCUACCCUAGGUACGGUUGUCACUAUCUUCGAACGAAAUUGAAACAACCACGGCUCCGCGAUCCCGCGUCCCCGGUGUACGAGGAACCGAUGCGAGAUUAGAGCUAUCACCAGCCGGAUGACACCUCCUUCGGGCGGUCCGGUGCGCCCCCUUUUCAAUUAUAAGCUCUCCAUUAGCGUUUUAUGAACAAUCCUGGAAGCUGUAGCUGCUCGGUGACAGCCUCUUCCGGACGAUUCUCGCCGCGUCCUUCUCUCUUCCCUUUUUCCCGGUUCCUCUUCCUCUCAGUCCAUCGGUGCUGCAGUGUACGGUUAAUGCUCUGAAGAUAAAAGAAACGGACGUUGCUCUCGUUAGAAGAAACGAUCGUCGAAGGAUAAUUCGGUGCGAUUAGACGACGACGGUCGUACGUCACCGGGUCAGCCCCUCGUCCCCGGUGUUCCUCGUUACGAUGAAUUCGGCGAAGACGUCGACGCGACCGCCACCACUGGCACCAAUUUCAGAUCGUUCGAAACCGCCGACGACGACGACGACGACGAGGAGGAUGUAGCUUAUACCUCGCGCACGACCUAGUCCACGGUAUUUCGAUCCACUUUUCAGGAACCUGCUACGUACCGCCUCCCCCGGUCCGUUCCGUUUGAUCGUCCGCGUUCCAGCGUGAAACUGCGUGGAAAAAUGAACAACCACCGUUCGUCGCUGCUGUUGGUGCAAAUGAAUUUACAGCGGAACUAGAUGACAGAGAAUGGGAAAAUCCUGUUGGAAAGAAUUUCCUCGCAGACGAUCCCGCCGCGGGUGGGUAGCGCCGCGGCGCCCCGGGAUCAAUAAAACGACCGCCCGGCCGUCGCCUUUCCUAGGUCCUGCCUGCCUGCCUGCCGUGAUCUCUCCCGUUCACGCGACGCUAGAUGUCGCGACGCAUAUCCCCCUCCCCCGUCGCUCUUCGGCACAGCGGAUGCCGAACGCGCCGGAUCUACCCGCGACACGCAAGCGCGAUCUCCUUCAGCGCACGCCCCCACGUGGUCUCUCCCCACGAGUUUGCGCAGCACGAUUAUCGAUGCGAUAGUCGGUAUUGCAUGCGUCUUGUACAUCUGCACUCUUUCCUCCCUCUGUCUUCCUUUCUUCCGUUUCAUCUGUCCCUUUAUGACGCGGGGUAACGAGACAUACUGAUUUCCCCGAAUUACUAUUUCUGUUAAUGCUACGAUUUUUUUCUUUUUUCUUUUCUUUUUUUUUCCCCUCCCACUUGCCGCGGGAAUCGAUGACUGAACUUGGGGUUUUUUCACUGUAAUGACUCGUGGUUAAUCUUCUUCGUGACAUUUAGUCCGGAUGUAUAUUAGGGCUCUCAAUUUUUUAUAAAAUUGAAGCUAGAAAUCGCACUUAUCCUUUCACGUUCCUCUCGAGAGUUCAAGGGGAAUUUGAUUUGACAAGGAUUUGUUUUCUUCGUGAAGUUGAACAAUUUGUUAUAAAGUAAUGUAAAUAAUACAGCUAUACUUACAUACUUACCUAGGCUUCGAUAACGAUUCGAUAAUUACAAUUUAAGAUAUUCAUGUAAUUAAACAGAGGUUUUGCAAAUGAAAAACGCUGGGUUUUCUCUCGGUAAUAGAGAUACUGCAGUGUUGUCGCAACCUUCGACAUUGAAGGUCGCAAAUGUUCAAUGAAAUUUAGAGUAACAUGUUCCUCAACCGCAUCUAGCGCAUCCUUGUGCCAUUUGCACUUAUGUAUUAACUAUUUGCAUUAAAUAAAAUGCUUCCGAUGAAUCUCUAA
Frieseomelitta varia is the source of this 4273-nucleotide long non-coding RNA. RefSeq lists it as uncharacterized. The transcript is spliced from 2 exons. The record is from RefSeq and is a predicted model, not a curated record. Lineage: Eukaryota; Metazoa; Arthropoda; Insecta; Hymenoptera; Apidae.